UCAAAAUUCAACAACAUAAGCCUGGAAUCAAAACCACUCAUAACAAGAUCCAUAACAAUUGAGCUAAAUUGAGCCAGAAAAUUCCAAGUUCUCACUCUUUAGAAGGAAGCAGCGGCGGUGGCCUUCUUCCUGGGAGCUGCUUCAGUGCCUUCACGGAAGUUGCUCUUGAAGCGGCGGGGGACAUGGCGGAGGUAGCGCAUCCUGCCAGUGCCAGUCGUCAAGGCGAUCCGCCGGAAGACGACUGGCACUGGCAGGAUGCG
RNAcentral lists this unclassified non-coding RNA (260 nucleotides) under Hevea brasiliensis (rubber tree). The record is from RNAcentral. Lineage: Eukaryota; Viridiplantae; Streptophyta; Magnoliopsida; Malpighiales; Euphorbiaceae.